Molecule: ribosomal RNA, 253 nt
Filed under: uncultured bacterium
Lineage: Bacteria
Description: partial 16S ribosomal RNA
Rfam family: Bacterial small subunit ribosomal RNA
Source: RNAcentral
CACGUAGGGCGCAAGCGUUGUCCGGAUUUAUUGGGCGUAAAGAGCGUGUAGGCGGCCAUACAGGUCCGUUGUGAAAACUCGAGGCUUAACCUCGAGACGUCGAUGGAAACCGUAUGGCUAGAGUCCGGAAGAGGAGAGUGGAAUUCCUGGUGUAGCGGUGAAAUGCGCAGAUAUCAGGAAGAACACCCGUGGCGAAGGCGGCUCUCUGGGACGGUACUGACGCUGAGACGCGAAAGCGUGGGGAGCGAACAGG